CACCAAGAAAUUGAGUCAUAUAUUUAUGGUAAAAAGACAGUUAGACGUAUUUUAGAUUUUUGAGGCUGAUUUUUGAUGCUUUACAUAGAGGUAAAAUUUGAGUGUAAUUGUAUAAUUUAUUGAUAGCUUGUAAGUUGAAUCUGUGAAGUCCUUAAGGGAAACUAGGAUUAGGUACCCUAUUAUUUUUGGAUAUAAAUUAAUAAAAUUUACCAGAGUACUAUGAAUAUUAAAAAUUUAAAACUCAAAGGACUUGGCGGUGUUUUAGACCACUUAGGGGAACCUGUCUCGUAAUCGAUAAUCCACGGUAUACCUGACCUUUUUUUGUUUUCAGCUUGUAUACCGUUGUCGUCAGGUAACUUUUUAGAAAUUAAAAGUUAGCAACAGGAAUAAAAAUAUAAUUUGGUACGUCAAAUCAAGGUGCAGCUAAUAAAAAGGGGAGGAUGGGUUACAAUUAUAUGAAUUAUAACGGAUAGAUGCAUGAAACUGCAUAAAUUAUAAGAUGGACUUAAAAGUAAAUUGGAAUAUGUAAACAAUUUGAAUGAGGCUCUGAAACGUGU
Molecule: ribosomal RNA, 557 nt
Filed under: Punctoterebra lineaperlata
Lineage: Eukaryota; Metazoa; Mollusca; Gastropoda; Neogastropoda; Terebridae
Description: partial 12S ribosomal RNA
Source: RNAcentral